This is a non-coding RNA of Pelobates cultripes (western spadefoot toad), 440 nucleotides long. The record is from the annotation of a GenBank genome assembly. NCBI's taxonomy places the organism in Eukaryota, Metazoa, Chordata, Amphibia, Anura, Pelobatidae.
UAUUAUUGACUAACCAGUUCCUGGGAUUUUUACUACUUUCUUUAAAAUUUAAGACUUGGGUCUGUCAUAAAGUAUUUGUAAUAAUUUGAAUAUCUACAUUCUGAAUUGCAACCAAAUAACUGAUUUGUUACCUAACAAAAGCUUUUCAAUAUCUGCCCUCAGGACACAGAAACAGGGAAGGUUUUCUGCAAUUCUCCGAGCUGACUUUCAUUAACAGCUGUAAGUCAAAAGAUUGAGAUAUUUACUUUUCCAGCUGUGCAUGUGAGGACAGGCAGAUAAACAGGAAUGUUGGGGGGUACUUGAGGACAUUGACAACAGAUUUGGCAAACCAGAUAACAUUAUUGCAUUACUGUCCUUACAUAUAUUUUCUAGAGACAUACAAAAUUCCAUUGAAACCAGUUUGCAUGCCUUUUGGAAACAUAUCCCAAUUAUUAUUUUUU